Eubalaena glacialis (North Atlantic right whale) is the source of this 999-nucleotide long non-coding RNA. RefSeq lists it as uncharacterized. The record is from RefSeq and is a predicted model, not a curated record. The transcript has 5 exons. Lineage: Eukaryota; Metazoa; Chordata; Mammalia; Artiodactyla; Balaenidae.
CCCGGAGGAGCUCUGGGCGGGGAGGGGGAGGGAAGAGGAUUGCCCCUCCGCCCUGCCCGCCCCCACGCCCCGGGCCGCCGCUUCUAAUCGUGUUGUCCCCCCAGGUGUGGCCCCCGCCCCGCCCCCCGCGGGGACCUGGGCGCGCUGUACGCCGUCUCGCCCUCCCUCCGCUUCCGCCCGUCCGCGCCUCCUCCCCCACCCGACCUCCUCACCGGAAAAAAGUAAUCUGGCUCCCGGCGAGGACGCUGCAGCGCCCGCGGCCGCCCGGCCAGCGACCCCGGCCCCGGAGGCUCGGACCGGCCCCAGGAUUGGGGUUUCUGCGCCCCAGCAGGUAAGGAGUCGCCCACGCUGGCUGGGCAUUCUGACUGCCCACGCGAUCACCCAGGACCGCGACCCACAGGACCUCCGUGUUUGUGGGAGUGGGGUCGUGAGUGGAACACACAGGCGGUUUUGCGUGGAAACCUGUCCUUUCAGAUUCCUUCUACUGUGCCCAUGCCUCCCGGGCCCAGCAUAGCGCCCACCCAUGAUGUCCCAAUAUUCCUGGUCCUGGAAGCUGAUGACCAGGGACUCUGCACGGUUCCUUCCCCGCAGAAGACUGUAGGCGACUUGAAGGGAGGAAUUUGUCUUGCCCACCCUGUAUCGCGGUGGCAUGAAGCCAUGGUCAAUGCCAGCUGCUUACCUGGAACCAGACCUGAUGUCCCUUGUCACUCUGGGUGACUGAGAACUUUUUUGGUUGUGAAGUAAAAUGAAAAUAAUUUGGGACUUCCCUGGUGGUCCAGUGGUUAAGAAUCCACCUUCCAAUGCAGGGGACGUGAUCCCUGGUCGGGGAACUAAGAUCCCACAUGCCGUGGGCUAAGUAAGCCCGUGCGUGGCAACUACUGAGCACACGGGCCACACCUAGAGAGCCUGCGCACCUCAACGAAGAUCCCAACCAAGAUCCCGCGUGCCGCAGCUAAGACCCGAUGCAGCCAAAAAUUAAAUAAAUAAAUAUUAAAAUGA